GGGAAAAGGGAAAGAGAAGAAUCUAGAGAGGGAGAAACAAAGGGCGGGGGAGAGAAGGCAACGCGGCAGUUCCAUUGAUUGAUCAUCCUUACGGAGUAGAGAAUUAUGGAAACACCUAAAAAUGCUUGAAGAAAAAUUCAAGAGUUUGAGCGGGAAUGCCAAUGAAAUGUGACAGCAAUUGCGUCGCAUUUGUGGUGGAAUUGAAAUUCUAACCCCAAAUCCCAACUGCAACAGCUAGACCAAGGAUGAUUGAAGCGCGCAACCAGAGAUCGAGAUAGCCAGAGAGAGAAAGAGAUUGAGAGAUUCCUGUCGAUGACAAUGAAGAUUGCAACUCUUGUGAAAAUUGUUCGUUUUUCUUUUGGCUUUUUGCAAAUAAUGAUUACUGCCCUUUGCAAAUUGCGGAGGUAGGGAAUCACUGCUUUUU
This 424-nucleotide unclassified non-coding RNA is filed under the name Hevea brasiliensis (rubber tree). Lineage: Eukaryota; Viridiplantae; Streptophyta; Magnoliopsida; Malpighiales; Euphorbiaceae. The record is from RNAcentral.